RNAcentral lists this ribosomal RNA (199 nucleotides) under uncultured bacterium. Its description in RNAcentral is "partial 16S ribosomal RNA". It matches the Rfam family "Bacterial small subunit ribosomal RNA", at positions 328 to 539 of the family's 1533-position model. The record is from RNAcentral.
ACGCUCGACACCUACGGAGGCAGCAGUGGGGGAUAUUGCGCAAUGGGGGAAACCCUGACGCAGCAACGCCGCGUGAAGGACGAAGGUUUUCGGAUUGUAAACUUCUUUUGUUAGGGACGAAGAAAUGACGGUACCUGACGAAUAAGCUCCGGCUAACUACGUGCCUGCAGCCGCGGUAAUCUGAGCGGGCUGGCAAGGC